AAUAGAGUGAUACAUACGAGGCCCUCGGAGUUGGUGGUGGGGCUGCUGGAGCGUGGAAUACACCUUCCUUGUGUACCUUAGAUUCUUGGUGGUCCAGAAUUUCGAUUCCAGUAUAGCGGAAGCCCUUCAGCCGAAAGGGUGCUGAAAAAGCAGAACUAUUUCUUUCGGACAAGAACGCCAACACUUCUCAUCUUCAUCUCACCAAUCUCCUCACAAGUGCACCAGCAGAAACUCCUGUUUUACAGCAAGCAACCAACAGUGACAACCGAAAGAAAUAACUGACACUAAACAAAACUAAUCUGCAACAUUCACCAGAGGAAGUGUGUAAUCAACUGUCUUCCUAACAAGCAAGUGAACGAACAAAAAAAAAUUGUCGAAAGCAACGCAGCACCGAUCAGUAUCAAAACACAAGAAAAAAAGGAAACAAGAGGUUCUCAUCGUUGUUUUCCAUUGUUUUGCCCUCCUUCGCAUCGACACUCCGCAAAUCAAACCAACCAGAGUUGUAGCAUCAAAUAUAAACGUUUAUAUAUUAUUAACACAGAGAAAAGAAAAGAGAAGAUUAUAAAGUUCUAAACUAAUUUUUGUAUGUACCUUAAACAACUGUAGUCAAAGAG
Aedes aegypti (yellow fever mosquito) is the source of this 614-nucleotide long non-coding RNA. RefSeq lists it as uncharacterized. NCBI's taxonomy places the organism in Eukaryota, Metazoa, Arthropoda, Insecta, Diptera, Culicidae. The transcript is spliced from 2 exons. The record is from RefSeq and is a predicted model, not a curated record.